This 468-nucleotide ribosomal RNA is filed under the name uncultured bacterium. Its description in RNAcentral is "partial 16S ribosomal RNA". It matches the Rfam family "Bacterial small subunit ribosomal RNA", at positions 28 to 507 of the family's 1533-position model. The record is from RNAcentral.
GACGAACGCUGGCGGCGUGCUUAACACAUGCAAGUCGAACGGAAAGGCCCUGCUUUUGUGGGGUGCUCGAGUGGCGAACGGGUGAGUAACACGUGAGUAACCUGCCCUUGACUUUGGGAUAACUUCAGGAAACUGGGGCUAAUACCGGAUAGGAGCUCCUGCUGCAUGGUGGGGGUUGGAAAGUUUCGGCGGUUGGGGAUGGACUCGCGGCUUAUCAGCUUGUUGGUGGGGUAGUGGCUUACCAAGGGUUUGACGGGUAGCCGGCCUGAGAGGGUGACCGGCGACAUUGGGACUGAGGUACGGAGCAGACGCGUAUGGGAGGCAGUAGUCGGGAGUAUUGCACAAUGGGCGGAAGCCUGAUGAAGCAACGCCGCGGGCGGGAUGACGGCCUUCGGGGUGUAAACCGCUUUCGCCUGUGACGAAGCGUGAGUGACGGUAAUGGGUAAAGAAGCACCGGCUAACUACGUG